This 335-nucleotide long non-coding RNA is filed under the name Rattus norvegicus (Norway rat). RNAcentral describes it as "long non-coding RNA NONRATT019605". Lineage: Eukaryota; Metazoa; Chordata; Mammalia; Rodentia; Muridae. The record is from RNAcentral.
GCCCCUGACACAGCCAGAUCCUCUGGAAAGGGCAGAAGCAGUGCAGGGAAUAUGGCAACUGCUCUGGACUGGAGCCGCAAGGCGGCGCACCCGGCUGCAAACAGCACUGCUAGUUGGGCAGUACUUUUCUGACUUGGCCGAGGCGGCUUCCUGGCUUCUCCAGCGGCAGAAACAAUUGGAAAGCGCGUCCUACGGGAAGGACCAGUCAGACUCCGAGGCCCUGCUGCAGCAACACCUGCGUCUGGAGCAAGGCUUGUGUGCCUUCGCGGUGGAUCUGCGCGAACUGGAGGAUCAGGCGCGGGCUGCUGCAGCCCUGGUGUCGCAAAUGGUGCACA